Molecule: non-coding RNA, 72 nt
Organism: Angomonas deanei
Lineage: Eukaryota; Euglenozoa; Kinetoplastea; Trypanosomatida; Trypanosomatidae
Source: Rfam
CACGGGACAAUCCGAGGUGAGCCUGGUCUGACACUAAUGGCAUGCUGCACCUUCUGGUAGUGCCGGAGAAUU